This 1979-nucleotide ribosomal RNA is filed under the name human gut metagenome. RNAcentral describes it as "bacterial LSU rRNA". It matches the Rfam family "Bacterial large subunit ribosomal RNA", at positions 3 to 1984 of the family's 2925-position model. The record is from RNAcentral.
UUAAGUUAUGAAGGGCGCAUGGUGAAUGCCUUGGUACUAGGAGCCGAUGAAGGACGGGACUAACACCGAUAUGCUUCGGGGAGCGGUAAGUACGCUUUGAUCCGGAGAUUUCCGAAUGGGGAAACCCAAUCAUCUUAGUCGAUGAUUGCCUGAGCAGUGAAUACAUAGCUGUCAGGCGGUAGACGCAGUGAACUGAAACAUCUAAGUAGCUGCAGGAAGAGAAAGAAAAUUCGAUUCCCUGAGUAGCGGCGAGCGAAACGGGAAGAGCCCAAACCAACGAGCUUGCUUGUUGGGGUUGUAGGACUGAACAUUUGAGUUACCAAAGUGCGACGUAGUUGAAGUCGUUGGGAAGCGACGCCAAAGAUGGUGAUAGCCCAGUAAACGAAACGUCACACUCUCAGUUCAGGAUCCUGAGUACGGCGGGACACGUGAAACCCCGUCGGAAUCCGCGAGGACCAUCUCGCAAGGCUAAAUACUCCCUAGUGACCGAUAGUGAACCAGUACCGUGAGGGAAAGGUGAAAAGCACCCCGGGAGGGGAGUGAAACAGUUCCUGAAACCAUGUGCCUACAAGCUGUCGGAGCACAUUUACGUGUGACGGCGUGCCUCUUGCAGAAUGAACCGGCGAGUCAUGAUUGCGUGCAAGGUUAAGGUGGAAAAACCGGAGCCGCAGCGAAAGCGAGUCUGAAAUGGGCGUACGAAGUACGCAGUUAUGUACCCGAAACCAGGUGACCUACCCAUGUCCAGGUUGAAGGUGCGGUAAAACGCACUGGAGGACCGAACCCGUAUCAGUUGAAAAUGGUUGGGAUGAGGUGUGGGUAGCGGUGAAAUUCCAAACGAACUCGGAGAUAGCUGGUUCUCUCCGAAAUCUCUUUAGGGGGAGCCUCGAGGUUUAGAAUCAUGGAGGUAGAGCACUGUUUGGACUAGGGGCCCGUCAUGGGUUACUGACUUCAGAUAAACUCCGAAUGCCAUUGAUUUUUACUCGGGAGUCACACGGUGAGUGAUAAGAUCCAUCGUGGAAAGGGGAACAGCCCAGAUCAUCAGCUAAGGUCCCUAAAUAUAUGCUAAGUGGAAAAGGAUGUGGAAUUGCACAGACAACUAGGAUGUUGGCUCAGAAGCAGCCAUCAUUUAAAGAGUGCGUAAUAGCUCACUAGUCGAGUGACUCUGCGCCGAAAAUGUACCGGGGCUAAGCAUAUUACCGAAGCUAUGGAUGCAUCCAUCAGGAUGCGUGGUAGGAGAGCGUUCCAAGGGCGAUGAAGUCAGACCGUAAGGACUGGUGGAGCGCUUGGAAGUGAGAAUGCCGGUAUGAGUAGCGAAAGACAGGUGAGAAUCCUGUCCACCGAAUGACUAAGGUUUCCUGGGGAAGGCUCGUCCUCCCAGGGUUAGUCGGGACCUAAGUCGAGGCCGAGAGGCGUAGACGAUGGACAACAGGUUGAUAUUCCUGUACCAGUUGAUUGUGCUUGAGUGAUGGAGUGACGCAGAAGGCUAAGCGAUCCGGACGAUUGGAAGUGUCCGGCCAAGCAGCGAGUCAGUUGAUGAGUCAAAUGCUUAUCAGCGGGUUGACAAGCUGUGACGGGGAGCGAAAUUAUAGUAGCGAAGUCGUUGAUGUCACGCUGCCGAGAAAAGCUUCUAGCGAAUAAUCAACUGCCCGUACCGCAAACCGACACAGGUAGUCGAGGAGAGUAUCCUAAGGUGAGCGAGCGAACUCUCGUUAAGGAACUCGGCAAAAUGACCCCGUAACUUCGGGAGAAGGGGUGCUGAUCGCAAGAUCAGCCGCAGUGAAAAGGCCCAGGCGACUGUUUAUCAAAAACACAGGUUUCUGCAAAAUCGUAAGAUGAAGUAUAGGGGCUGACGCCUGCCCGGUGCUGGAAGGUUAAAAGGAAGAGUUAGCUUCGGCGAAGCCCUGAAUUGAAGCCCCAGUAAACGGCGGCCGUAACUAUAACGGUCCUAAGGUAGCGAAAUUCCUUGUCGGGUAAGUUCC